Molecule: long non-coding RNA, 310 nt
Organism: Dreissena polymorpha
Lineage: Eukaryota; Metazoa; Mollusca; Bivalvia; Myida; Dreissenidae
Exons: 3
Source: RefSeq, a predicted model, not a curated record
AGCCGACUGUUCUUGUGGCUGCAAAGCUGAAAUUGAAAGGCUAUCAGCUAAAUGCAAAACAUUUGAACAAGAGUUUACCGCCACCUGGUAUUGGAUAAACCUUAUGUACAAUCAGAUACAGCAAAAGCAGCUGCCCAACACUCCCAGCCAUAUGCAGCUUCUUCAAGGGUCUUCAGGGCAUGGGCAGCUACAGAUGCCAACAAUGGAAGAAGCUCCACAGCCAUUGACCCUCAUGACAACACCAGUUAAAACUCCUCAUGUCUUGUCAUCAGAAAUCAAAAAGACAACAGUACCUACAUAUGGUGGAUUU